RNAcentral lists this ribosomal RNA (314 nucleotides) under uncultured bacterium. RNAcentral's name for it is "bacterial SSU rRNA". It matches the Rfam family "Bacterial small subunit ribosomal RNA", at positions 28 to 334 of the family's 1533-position model. The record is from RNAcentral.
GACGAACGCUGGCGGGCGCGCCUAACACAUGCAAGUCGAACGAGCGAGAGGAGAGCUUGCUUUCUCGCGCGAGUGGCGAACGGGUGAGUAACGCGUGAGGAACCUGCCUCAAAGAGGGGGACAACAGUUGGAAACGACUGCUAAUACCGCAUAAGCCCACGACCCGGCAUCGGGUUGAGGGAAAAGGAGCAAAUCCGCUUUGAGAUGGCCUCGCGUCCGAUUAGCUAGUUGGUGAGGUAACGGCCCACCAAGGCAACGAUCGGUAGCCGGACUGAGAGGUUGAACGGCCACAUUGGGACUGAGACACGGCCCAG